GAUGAACGCUGGCGGCGUGCCUAAUACAUGCAAGUAGAACGCUGAAGGAUGUAUCUUGCUCUUUCCGGAUGAGUUGCUAAUGGGUGAGUAACGCGUAGGUAACCUGCCGUGUAUCGGGGGAUAACUAUUGGAAACGAUAGCUAAUACCGCAUAACAUGUGGUGUUGCAUGACAACUAUUUGAAAGGGUGAGUUUGUUCACGACCAGGUGUGCUUGCGUUGUAUUAGCUAGUUUGUGAGGUAUCGGCUCACCAAGGCGACGAUACAUAGCCGACCUGAGAGGGUGAUCGGCCACACUGGGACUGAGACACGGCCCAGACUCCUACGGGAGGCACCAGUAGGGCACAUUCGGCAAUGGACGGAAGUCUGACCGAGCAACGCCGCGUGAGUAUAGAAGGUAGUCGGAUCGUAAAGCUCUGUUGUAAGAGAAGAACAAAAAAGAGAGUGGGAAGUUCACACUGUGACGGUAUCUUACCAGAAAGGGACGGCUAACUACGUG
Molecule: ribosomal RNA, 497 nt
Filed under: uncultured bacterium
Lineage: Bacteria
Description: partial 16S ribosomal RNA
Rfam family: Bacterial small subunit ribosomal RNA
Source: RNAcentral